Molecule: long non-coding RNA, 3108 nt
Filed under: Mus musculus (house mouse)
Lineage: Eukaryota; Metazoa; Chordata; Mammalia; Rodentia; Muridae
Description: long non-coding RNA chr4:127051737-127054845
Source: RNAcentral
AAUUACAGUUUUUUCCUUGGACAUGAGCCCUUGCACCAGGGCUAACGAGAAAGAAAAGGGUACUUAGUAUCUACCAUACGAUCCUGGGGCCAUACCUGUCCCUCCAGGCCAGAGGUUCUCAACCUUCCUAAUGCUGUGACUCAAUACAGUUUCUCAUGUUAUGGUAGCUCCCAACCGUAAAAUUAUUUCAUUGCUACUUCAUAACUGGAAUUUUGCUAUUGUUAUCAAUCAUAAUGUAAAUAUCUGAUAGGCGACCUCCAAAGGGGUGGAGACUCACAGGUUGAGACCUGUUGUCCUAGGCUAACAUCCCGGUAAAGAAUCUCAAGCACAGCUGGGUGUGGUGGAUCACGCCUUUAAUUCCAGCUCAGGAGGCAGAGGCAGGUAGAGUUCUGUGAGUUCAGAAGUCAGCCUAACAUAGUGAGCUCCAAGACAGCUAAGGCUACAGAGACCUUGUCUUAAAAAAUUAACCCCCCACCCAGAAAACAAUAACAAUCCUAUUGUGAGAAAGCAGCAUACAAACAGGAGGCGGAAGGCAGCAAAUUCAGUAAGCACGGGACAAAGAGAGGCUGUAGACUGAGGAGUUUUACCAUCGAAUCUUUCUACAUCACUGAAAGCAACGGUGGAGCAGAACCGCUUUUUGGUACACAGUACGAACAAAACUACACAGCGUUUCUUUUCUGUGGAGAUGAGAAUGUUGAUAGGACAGCCAGGAAAUGGGCUGGGAAGAUGGCUCAGGAGUUAAGAGCACCCGUGCUGAGUUACAUACAGUUCCCUGAUUCCUGUCCCAAGAAUAUGACAUCCUCUUUUCCAUCCAUGGGCACCUAAACAGAUGUGUAAACACACCCCAUGCACAUAAAUGGGAACAAAUAACUCCUCAUUUGUAUGUGUGUGUGGAUUUCAUUCCAUGCAAGUGAAGGUCAGAAGACAACUUCAGAGUCAGCUCACCCUUCCCUUCCACCAUGUGGCUCCUGAGGACUGUACUUAGGUUGUCAAUUUUCUUACGAGUAUGAGUGUUUUGCCUGAGUGAAUGUAUGCACCAUGUGCAUGUAGCUCCUGCAGUGUCUAGAUCAGGGCACCAGAUCCCUGGACUACGGGUUAUAGGUAAUUAUGAGCGUCACAUGGGUAAGGGAAUUUAACUGGGUCCUCUGGAUCUUAAGUGCUGAGCCACCUUUCUAGCUCCUAAAUAAUCUUUAAAAAUAAAGAAAGAACAAAGAAGGCAUGGCGGUACAUACUUUUAAUCCAAGCCCUAGGGAGGCAGAGGCAGGCAGAUUUCUUGAAUUUCAGGCUAGCCAGGUCUACAGAGCCAGGUCUAGCCAAGGCUACACAGAGAAACCCUGUCUUGAAAUUUCAGGGGCAGGGGGAAAGCACAGGAUAAUUUUCACUUUAGUCUUUUAUUAAUAUGGCUUUUUUUGAGACAAGGAAUUCUGGCGGGUCUGGAACUUGGGUUACACAGACCAGGAUGAGUUCACGGAGAUCUACUUGACAAUUAGAGGCAUGGCCAUCACACCUGGCUCCUCAUCCUGCCAUUCACCCUUCCAGACAGAAGGAUCCUUGCUUUUGCAUGUGCUUGGGCUGGACACCUAUGCUAAGCAAUAGCUCUCCCACUGAGCUCUCCGUCCAGCUCUCACAGGCAUACUCUGCAGGCAGCUCAAGACACUGACAGCACCAGGCAGUCAGGAAACGGAUCAGGGCACACUCGACCAUGGUUAUACCAGAGGAGUUGCUGCAGAUUUUGAUUUCUUGAUAUUCUGAAGUAUUCAGUAUGAGUUAUAUGUUAUUGUUUUUUCAAGAUAUGGUUUCUUGGGGGGGGGAGUAUAGGGGACUUUCGGGAUAGCAUUUGAAAUGUAAAUGAAGAAAAUAUCUAAUAAUAAUAAUAAUAAUAAUAAAAAGAUAUGGUUUCUCUGUAGUUCUGGCUGUCCUGGAACUCAUUCUGCAGACCAGACUGGCCUCAAGCUCAGAGAUCUGCUUGCCUGUGUCUCUCAAAUACUAAGAUUAUGCAUCACCACAUUACUAAAGAUCAUGUAGUGAUAAAGCUAAAUAAUCGUUCUAAUUCAUAAAAAGGGAUCAAACCAGUAACUGUGCUUGUCUCAUUUAGUCCACAAAGCAAGGCUAGCUUCUCUGUUCUUGGGGACACCCAAAGGCCUUCUUCAUGUUCAUUAGCCAUCAGCCAAAGAUUUCCCCAAUAACACCAAGCACGCUCACCGACCAGCUGGCGGGACAGCAGCUCUUUUUGCUCACCUGCUUCUAUGAAUUAGUAAUCUUUGCACUACUCAAGUAAGGACACUCUUCCCCCUGAAGUAUGUGGGACAGAUUAUAAAUCACAGCUUUCACCAGUUCACAAGGAAACUUGUCAGCAGAACGAAAAUGUGAAAGGUAGGAAUUUCUGCCAAGACUAGAACAAUAGCAACAAAUGACAUUUAAGCAGAAUGACAAGAAUUCUUCUAAAUGUUAAAAAAAAAUGGAAACUUACAGUAGAUGUCUUCUGACACAUGCUGCACUUGGGCAAACUGCUAUCAGUAUAUAUGGUAACACCUGGUUUUCUUUUUUCUUCAUAUGAUGUAAGACAAGAUUGGCUACAAAAGUUUUUGUCACAACUACUAUCCUCCAACUGGACACUCUUCAUAUCCUUUAGACUUAAAAUGUCUCUAAAAACAAACAAUAAAUGCUUGUUAAUAGAACAAUAAAUAUAUAAAGUAACUUAUGAGUUUCUGUGUGUACACAUGAGGGGCCCAGAGCAAGGCGUUGGGCAUUUUUCCCUCUUGCUCUCUGUAUUGUCCUGACCCAGUUUCUCACUGAAUUGGGAGCAAGAAUCACUGUAUGGGCUAUGCUGGUUGGGCAGUGAGCUCUUGGGAUCCUUCUGCCAUGUUUUUACUGCAAAACAAAACAAUUUAGUUCCAGAAAUUAAGGAUGCUGUCAAUAAAACAACAUUUUCAAGUUAUUUUAAUUUGAACCUUGACAAUUUCUAGCACCCACAUGGCAGCUCACAACUGUCUGUAAUUCUUGUUCCAGGGGAUCCAGUGCCCUCUUCUGGACUCCAAGGGCAAUGCAUGCCCUUAAUACACAGACUAAAAGCAGGUAAAAGAAUAAAUAAACUUGAAUAUUUGCGUG